This 390-nucleotide ribosomal RNA is filed under the name uncultured Chaetothyriales. RNAcentral's name for it is "eukaryotic LSU rRNA". It matches the Rfam family "Eukaryotic large subunit ribosomal RNA", at positions 256 to 663 of the family's 3401-position model. The record is from RNAcentral. Lineage: Eukaryota; Fungi; Ascomycota; Eurotiomycetes; Chaetothyriales.
UUCGACGAGUCGAGUUGUUUGGGAAUGCAGCUCAAAAUGGGAGGUAAAUUUCUUCUAAAGCUAAAUAUUGGCCAGAGACCGAUAGCGCACAAGUAGAGUGAUCGAAAGAUGAAAAGCACUUUGAAAAGAGAGUUAAACAGCACGUGAAAUUGUUGAAAGGGAAGCGCUGGCUAUCGAUGAAGAGCGCGGCGGUUCCCCCAGCCUUUUGGCUGGGCUACUCCGUCGUGUCCAGGCCAACAUCGGUUCUGAGGGUCGGUCAAAGGCCUUGGGAAUGUAUCUACUCACGGGUAGACUUAUAGACCAGGGUGUCAUGCGGCCUCUCGGGACCGAGGAACGCGCUUCGGCUCGGAUGUUGGCGUAAUGGUUGUCAGCGACCCGUCUUGAAACACG